AGCACACAGUAGCGUGACUUGUGUCUGAAAUGAACUUGCAUACUUGCUGGUUAACAGGCACAUAAGCCAUGAAGAAGCCCAGAAUCCCAUGCCUCUGUCACGGCCUGAAUGCUGCUCCCACAGAACAACCUGCCCAGGGAAUGGUGCUGCCCACAGUGGACCGGACCCUUCUCCAUCAAUUCCCCAUCAAGAUAAUCCCCGCUAGGGACAUGCCCACAGGCAAGUCUCCUCUUCUCACCUGGUAAGUUCCUCAACUGAGGCACAGUUUCAGGUGACUCAGGGUUGUUUCAAGUUGACAGUUAAAAAUAACUAGGAAGAACAACCCAACCAGAAUAAACUCUAUGUAGCCUAUCUGUCAACUCCGCACACAGGGAAAGGUCUAUUUCUGCAUUUGCUCCAUCAUGGCAUCCAUCUGCCAUGGCGCAGCAGAGAGCAGACCUCGCAUAUCCAUGUGGACAGCACACUUUUUAGGUCCUAUGGCAGCCUUGGCUCUUUUCCAGCCUGUAUUGGCUCCCAUGUGGCCAAACCUUACAUGAACCCAGCGAGCAGCCUCUAGGGACAGCUGAGGGCAGAUGGCCUAUAUUUUACUAAGGGCAUCUUGGUUUCCAGGAGGACUUAGUGGACUAUGGGCUGCCAUAUGGAAACUACUAGAAGUUCUGACUCCUGGUGAACUCUGUUAGAUAUAUUUCCUUCCACAUCUGUUGUCUCCAUGGCAACAGCCGACCCAGCAGUCACUGAUUUCCCUUUUCCCAUCAGGCUAUCCAUAAAAUCAGGCCUCUGGAUACAGACCAACUGUUCGUACAGAUGGCCACAGGCCAAGCCUCCUCCAUAAGGAAGCUCACUGUCUGUUCCUUCCUUCUCUCUUCCCAUGUUAUUAGUGUUUAUCUGUAUUGCUAUAGUCACAUAUUCCCGCCUUGUGCCUUUUCCUGAGCCACAAGUGACCAGAAAUCCUUGAGAAUAGUCAGCACUGACUCCGGAACCCCAUCAUCUGGUUAGGUUGUUGCUUCGGUUACUGACGGAAGCUCAGUGACGUCAAAAGAUACUGUUCCCGUGGCUAAAGAGAUGGGUCAGUGACUAAGAGCGCUUACUGAGGAUUGCAGAAGACCCAGAUUUUGUUCCCUAGAUCUGAUGCCCCCUUCUAGCCACUCUGGACUCCUACGUGCACGAGGUACAGAGACAUACAUAAUCAUCAUUUGAAAAGUUUGGUGUUUAAAAGACACUGGCUGUAACCCAGCAGGCCUGGCAUGGGGACAUGAACGCAGUAUUAGUCACUUUCCUCACAGCCGUGACCAAAUGCCUGGAGCAAGCAACUUAACAAAGGAAGCCUUUUUUCUGCAGCUUAAGGGCGUGGGAGGGAAGGCGUGGUGGCGGGAUCUGGAGGCAGGCGGCAUUUCAUCUGCAGUCAGUUUGUGUAGAGCCAUGAACGCUGGCACUCAGCUUUCUUCCUCCUUUGUAUGCAGUCCAGGACCUCAGUCCACAGUAUGGCGAUGGACAUUCAGGAUGGGCCUCACCUCAGAUAACCUAAGUAUGUCAUCUCUCACAGACAUAACCAGAGGCUAACCUAAUCUAGACGGAGAUGAUCUCUUCGGUUAUUCUAGAUGCAUCCAUUAACACUGCUGGCAUAUAAUCCCAGGAUUUCAGGGUGGAGGCAGGGCAUGGAGGCAGGAGGAUCAGGAGUUCAAAGUCAUUCUCAGCCACAUGAUGAUUUUGAGGCCAGCUUGGCUGCAUGAGAUCCUGUCUCAAAGAAAAGAAAAGGGACUUAGAUGGGAGGUGGUACACAUGCCACCCCAGUUUCCACUAGCCCAGACAGAGGACAGCCCCUCCAACAUUAACAAAGCUAUAGUCCAACCAGGUCUGGUGACACACCUGUAACCCCCGUACUCAGGACGCUGAAGCAGGCUGAUGGCGUGCCAGGCCAGACUCGACUACAUAAGCAAGAAACCAUCUCGGAACAAAACAAGAAAGUUGGCUCCAAUGAUUGCUCUAUUCCCUGCCCACUGCCCCUCUUCGAUUCUUUAAUUUAAUUCCACUUUAUUCAUUAUCUGUGUGACAGGUUCCAGUAAUAUACUUAGUGAUCAAUAAAAAUUUCUGAAUUCAAA
Molecule: long non-coding RNA, 2099 nt
Organism: Arvicola amphibius (Eurasian water vole)
Lineage: Eukaryota; Metazoa; Chordata; Mammalia; Rodentia; Cricetidae
Exons: 2
Source: RefSeq, a predicted model, not a curated record